Long non-coding RNA from Plodia interpunctella (Indianmeal moth), 1368 nucleotides. RefSeq lists it as uncharacterized. The transcript is spliced from 2 exons. NCBI's taxonomy places the organism in Eukaryota, Metazoa, Arthropoda, Insecta, Lepidoptera, Pyralidae. The record is from RefSeq and is a predicted model, not a curated record.
GCCCGCUCUCUCACACCACAACUCUUGCCCGCGCGCUUCGAUGGUUCCCGACAGCAGAAAGCCAUCGAAAACAGUCUAUUCUAUGAUACUCACCUGGUUUUAGCAGAUGUAGUGCCUUUUCAUAGCGUUAUAAUAGCUCCUCUUAGAAGAAAUAUGGUAGGGUAAUGUAUGGCGGAGUGCGCGAAGAGAGAUGCGCGGUGUAAGGCGCAUGCGCGAGCUGGCGGAGGCCGAAGACUGCGGAGUGGGCACGGGGGCUCGCCACCGCAGCACGUGUCUCGCGAAAACUUGUAUUUUUUUUUUUCUAAAUUGCAACUUUAGGGUGGCUUCAUUGGGAAACAGUAUGGGGAGGUUGUUUGGGUUUUGAUAUGAAAAUAUAGCCCAUGAUACAACCACACAUCUUCGUAGAGGGAUCCCAAACCACCAUUCAUGCCAUGAGGACAACAUCUUUGAUUAUUCUCCUAGUCGUGGUGUCGCUAUAAAGCCCCUUCUUAUUUAGGCCUAAUUUUAUUUACGACAAACAUAAAUAACUAAUUUGUCUAAAUUAAUAGUUCCAGUAUUGGAUUCCAAAAGAUUUAGUUACCUACAUAACGGUGGAAGAAAUUAAAACAGUUUAUAUGAAAAAUCUGUGAUUUUAUUUUAUAAUCUCAUUAUCCUCUUAAUAAAUAAAAGGUUUCAUACAAAAGUCUAUACUUACAACUCCGAGAGGAGCUCACUUGUCUAACUCAUAUUUAAACUAUCUUACAAUAACUUGACAUAAAUAAUAAAAGGAAAAAAUAUUAAUUACCUUACCUGUGUCGUGGGGACUGUAUAGAAAAAGCGAACUUAAAAUAUUUCAAUGUAACAUGAUUUAUUUCAAAUUAUUUAUAUCUUUGGAAACUGGUUAUUAGUCUUGUCAUACUCUGUCCUUAGUUCAACCAAAAUGUCAUUUUCUUAUUAGUUGUUACAAUUAAUAAGCGUUCAACUGGUUUUAGCUUUAACAAUAAAUAAGUGCGAAUAUUUCCCAUGGCACAGGCAGGUCUUGGUUAAUGUUUAGAAUUUGGAAAAAAAAAAUCUUGUUUUUUCAAACCAAAAACAAUGCUACGUUGUUAGCAAUGUUUCCUACUCAAGGAUAAAAACCCAGGAAAAAUUAAAAAUUUGGGAAACAGACCUUGCACAUUGUGGUUAGGCGGUCAAUUGACCAUUGCGUUUUGGUUCCACCAAUCCACCAUAAUGCAGAGUUUUAUUUUCCUGAAAAUCACCUAUGUUUCCUCAGAACAUUUACAUGAAUCUUGCGUACAAGAUAUUGAAAAUUUUCCACGCUAGUAAUUCGGCGUAUACUAUAUAACAAACUACCUAAAAUCUAGAAUCAAUCUUCAAAGAUUCCUGUGA